GACGAACGCUGGCGGCGUGCUUAACACAUGCAAGUCGAACGCUGAAGCCCUGGCUUUUGUUGGGUUGGAUGAGUGGCGAACGGGUGAGUAACACGUGAGUAACCUGCCCUCUUCUUUGGGAUAACGCCCGGAAACGGGUGCUAAUACUGGAUAUUCACUGCUCUUCGCAUGGGGGUUGGUGGAAAGGUUUGUUCUGGUGGGGGAUGGGCUCGCGGCCUAUCAGCUUGUUGGUGGGGUGAUGGCCUACCAAGGCUUUGACGGGUAGCCGGCCUGGGAGGGUGACCCGUCACAUUAGGAAUGGGAUACGGCCCAGACGCCUACAGCAGGCAGCAGUGGGGAAUAUUGCACAAUGGCCGAAUGCAGGAUGCAGGGACGCCGCGUGAGGGAUGGAGGCUUUUGGGGUGUAAACCUCUUUCGCGCAUGGUCACGCCGCAACUGUGGGUUGUGGUGAGGGUAGUGGGUAAAGAAGCGCCGGCUAACUACGUG
This 486-nucleotide ribosomal RNA is filed under the name uncultured bacterium. Its description in RNAcentral is "partial 16S ribosomal RNA". It matches the Rfam family "Bacterial small subunit ribosomal RNA", at positions 28 to 507 of the family's 1533-position model. The record is from RNAcentral.